AGACGUCUACAUUAGAUACCCGUGUAGUCCCAGCCGUAAACGAUGCGCGUUAGGUGUAUCGACGACCACGAGUCGUCGAGGUGCCGAAGGGAAACCGUGAAACGUGCCGCCUGGGAAGUACGGUCGCAAGGCUGAAACUUAAAGGAAUUGCGGGGAGCACCACAACAGGUGGAGCCUGCGGUUUAAUUGGAGUCAACGCCGGGAAGCUCACCGGAUAGGACAGCAGAAUGAUUGCCGGGCUGAAGACCCUGCAUGACUAGCUG
RNAcentral lists this ribosomal RNA (263 nucleotides) under uncultured archaeon. RNAcentral's name for it is "partial 16S ribosomal RNA". It matches the Rfam family "Archaeal small subunit ribosomal RNA", at positions 717 to 982 of the family's 1478-position model. The record is from RNAcentral.